Molecule: unclassified non-coding RNA, 433 nt
Filed under: Hevea brasiliensis (rubber tree)
Lineage: Eukaryota; Viridiplantae; Streptophyta; Magnoliopsida; Malpighiales; Euphorbiaceae
Source: RNAcentral
UUGCUUUGACGGUUCGGAAUAGGCGGGCCCUUGGGAGCCAACUCCGGUUUCGCGCCAACCUUUUUCGUUUCAGGAUCAACCUCUACGAUUCCAAUAUUCUGGAGCUCCAGAUCUUCGCACAUCGUGCGAACGAGCCAUAUCGGUGACCAAGGCGGCAUCAGGAUCCAAAAAUUUCGAAAGAACGUGGACUCGGUCGCGACGCGAGUCAUGCGUUUGGCCGUCUCGUCUUGUGCGACAUCUCCGUAAAUGGAGUAACAAUCCACCGCAUCGACGACGAGUUCAUUGUUCGAAUCUCGGAAAGCGAUGACGAGAUCGGGACUCGCAUAGCGAAGACCACCUGACCACCUGACCACCUUCACCUUCUCGGCUCCGGAAAAUUCCGGAAGUAUCGCUGCAUUCGUUUGAGUGAGCAGUUCAAGGCAAAAACUUUCGA